CCCUUUUAGAUGGAUGAGGCCUCGGUUCACUGAGGGCCCCAGGCAGGAGACGGCCACACCCGGGUAAACACUGCAUUUCUACAACAGCCACCUGUGCAGGCCCUGCAUGCUCUGUAACUUGGGGAUUUGGUCUUCUGAAAAGGGCACCAGAGAAAAACUGCUCUUAAGCCCCUGUUAACUGAAACAGCAGUAGAACUCCAAGGUGUUGAUCCUUGGAUUCAUGUUUUUCAACUUCAGAGAUCACUCAUCACUCCUUCUUGACCACUGGACAUCCAUCCCACCAGGAGCUCCUAAACCAAGAGAUGUUAGAAAUCCUCCAAAAGUGCUGACUGCAGAAGUUGGUAGCUUCUGCUCAAGAUGACAGAACAAGAUUAACUUUUGUACUCUUCAGCACCUUUUUUAUUUUCCAUUAUCACACUUUGAUACCCUCUGAAACAUUAAAACACCUUCUAGAAUGCUUA
This is a long non-coding RNA of Piliocolobus tephrosceles (Ugandan red Colobus), 461 nucleotides long. RefSeq lists it as uncharacterized. The record is from RefSeq and is a predicted model, not a curated record. Lineage: Eukaryota; Metazoa; Chordata; Mammalia; Primates; Cercopithecidae. The transcript is spliced from 2 exons.